CUCUUCGAGACCCCACCAUGGACUGCAGCCUACCAGGCUCCUCCGUCCAUGGGAUUUUCCAGGCAAGAGUACUGGAGUGGGGUGCCAUUGCCUUCUCCGUUACUUUUGAUAGAUAGAUAGAAAAUUAGCACUGACUUUGCCCAGGGCCGCCGGUCUCUCCCGUCUGGCUCAUCCAUGUCCUGUGUCUAAUGUGAGGAAAGUUGGACCAGAUAACUCAGGGAUACCUUAGGUCCUUAGCAGUUCAAAUGUUUCACUUAAAACCCUUGGGUUUAUUGUCAGUGCAGUUCUCUGGGUCUUGUUUCAUUUCCUUUUUUAUUGUAAGAAUGCGUGUGCUCUGGCACGUUCACCCCCUCACUCCUGUCGGUAUCACAUUGUCAAGGGCAUCAAAUGGAGACACACCAGGAACCUGGAAAGCGCGUCUUCUCAGUGACCUCUCACCUCAGGCACAGGCUGGAAGAGGGUCAGGCCUGGAGAAGCUGAAGCUCUCAGAAGAGCAGGAGAGAGCAGCCUUCAGGGAGGAAGCCUGUCACGUGGUGGAAUUAAAGGCGGGUUCUUUACCUCCAGUGCCACUUGGGAAGCCAGUCCCCAAAGGAAGAGGGUGCUGUUAACAGGAAAGAAGGAGUGCUGAGAGACCAAAAUGAACAGAUGCCUGAAAAAUGUUCAAUUAAAAACUGUCCCUCUCCAGGUGCCCCCAGCACUGCAGCAUCCGGAGGCCUGUGCUACUCUGGGGUCUUUGCCAGUCCAGCCAGGGAGAUGCUGAAGUUACGAUAGGGUGCUGUGCUCAUCCCUGUGGUGACUUCUGCCAUCAUUCGCGUGUUUAUCAGUCAGCCUUAAGGCCAGUCAGCUGAUGAGGGCACGGAAGUGGCAAUGUAGCUGCAAAGCUGUUAAACGAUGCAAAAUGAUGGUUGCCUGUGAACUUGCUCCAAGACUAACCAACUGAAAGCUCCGGGUCCUCCAGGACUGACACGGGAAUGGUGGGUGAUGUUUUAGAAACGGAUCUGCACGUGGGAUCAGUUUGCCCUACUGGACAUUUCCCUUUUGGUCUUCAAGCUGAUGGCGCAUCCGCCACUUUUCAGAUAAUUUGCCCUCUAAAUGGUUGCAGUAAGCAGGGCUGCAGACCCUAGUUGGUACAUGCAGAGCAUUUCAUGAAACUUAGGGGGAAAUGGCUUCAGACCCUCACUCAAAGUGGAAUCCAGCAGGACAAGGACAGGACACACGGAUCCGCCUUGAUACCAGUGUCCUGGAAUGCAGGCUCAGGCAGCCCGCGCGAGAGAAGGAGAGGCCAUCCACUGCAGAAACAGACCCGGCAACACACAGCAGCUGCGCUGCGAUGAGCUGGCGAGGGGCUCUAGAGCCUUCUUCUGUCUGGUGGGGCUCGGCGGGGAGAGUCCCUGCUGCAGGUGACUCUGCGGGUCCUGGCUGACGGGCGCCUCACACGUGGGGGCUGUCAGGUCCACACCGGAAGUCCAAGCAGAAGGCUCCGUUUGUCUUUGUAUCUGGAAAGCAGAACUUUUCCAGGUUAUGGAAAGAAAAGCUGGGGUUCCCUGUACUUAAACUGUGAGGGAGCUAGCUCCACUUGAUGCAGCUGAGGUGCGUGCUCACUGCCCUACCUUUGAACUUAUCACCGCUGACCACCACCAUCUCUCAUCUUGAGUUUUAAGACUCUAGAUUGGUUGCAUACUGUCUUAGGUACUCCCUUCUUUUGUGUAACGCAGGGUGGAGCCCGACCACAUACAGUCAUCUUCAAAAUCAAGAGCUGCAUAUGUUACUGUCCUUCCUACUAUGUCAUGUUACCAUGGGAGUUAGAGACCAGGGGGUCCUUGCCCCCAAGUAGUAAGAAAGUCCAAAUCUGCUUUAUUAGCCAUAUCUCCCCCUGUGCCAUUUCUUCUUUUGGAUCCUUGCUUGUGCAGUAAAAGAUGGCUUUUCUUAAACUCUGCUGCUGCCUCUCGUUCCUCCUGUUGAACCUGUCCAAUCUCCUCUGUUGGCUCUUCUCUCCAGCCCCGCCAUGGUGUUAAAGGAAUAUUAGAACAAGAGAGCAAGACGGUCUGAGCCCAGUCCUGCUGCCACAGACGAUGCGAGCCCAGCUGCCUCUUUAGGACUGAGGGGCUCCUUUCACCAAAUGCCGGGAAUGCUGGCUGCCGCUGGCUCUCAGCUGUGUCCACCUUCGGUGGAAGGGAGCUGCCUUCCUUGCCUGUGGCUCAGGGGCGGCCCACCUCUGGAACCUGGCCCACAUGGGGGUACAAAGGCCACUGGAGUGGGCUGCCAUGUCUUCCUCCAGCGGAUCCUCCUGACCCAGGGAUCGAACCCACAUCUCUCAUGUUUCCUGCACUGUCAGGCAGGGUCUUUACCUCUAGUGCCACCUGGGAAACGCAAGAUAUAAAAUACCACUUACAUGAGGUAUUUUAGUUAAAUUCACAGAAUCAGAGCUGAAUGGUGGUGGCCAGGGGCUGGAGGAGGGGAAAUGCUAAUCAAUGGGCGAAAUGUUUCAACGAAGCAAGAUGAAGAAACUCUAGAGGUCUCUAUAACAACAAUCAAGAACACUGUAUUACACACUUAAAAUUUUAAGAGGGUAUGUUAAGUCUUCUUAAUCAAAAUAAAAAUUUUAAAAGAA
Molecule: long non-coding RNA, 2611 nt
Organism: Bubalus bubalis (water buffalo)
Lineage: Eukaryota; Metazoa; Chordata; Mammalia; Artiodactyla; Bovidae
Exons: 2
Source: RefSeq, a predicted model, not a curated record